GAGUUUGAUCAUGGCUCAGGAUGAACGCUGGCGGCGUGCCUAACACAUGCAAGUCGAACGGAUCCAUAUUGAAACCUAGUGAUGUAUGGAUUAGUGGCGGACGGGUGAGUAACGCGUGGAUAACCUGCCGUAUACAGGGGGAUAACACUUAGAAAUAGGUGCUAAUACCGCAUAAGCGCACGGUUCCGCAUGGAACAGUGUGAAAAACUUCGGUGGUAUACGAUGGAUCCGCGUCUGAUUAGCCAGUUGGCGGGGUAACGGCCCACCAAAGCGACGAUCAGUAGCCGGCCUGAGAGGGUGAACGGCCACAUUGGGACUGAGACACGGCCCAAACUCCUACGGGAGGCAGCAGUGGGGAAUAUUGCACAAUGGGGAAAACCCUGAUGCAGCGACGCCGCGUGAGUGAAGAAGUAUCUCGGUACGUAAAGCUCUAUCAGCAGGGAAGAAAAUGACGGUACCUGAUUAAGAAGCCCCGGCUAACUACGUGCCAGCAGCCGCGGUAAUACGUAGGGGGCAAGCGUUAUCCGGAUUUACUGGGUGUAAAGGGAGCGUAGACGGCAGCGCAAGUCUGGAGUGAAAUGUCGGGGCCCAACCCCGGAACUGCUUUGGAAACUGUGCAGCUCGAGUGCAGGAGAGGUAAGCGGAAUUCCUAGUGUAGCGGUGAAAUGCGUAGAUAUUAGGAGGAACACCAGUGGCGAAGGCGGCUUACUGGACUGUAACUGACGUUGAGGCUCGAAAGCGUGGGGAGCAAACAGGAUUAGAUACCCUGGUAGUCCACGCCGUAAACGAUGAUUACUAGGUGUCGGGGGGCCAAGGCCCUCCGGUGCCGGCGCAAACGCAUUAAGUAAUCCACCUGGGGAGUACGUUCGCAAGAAUGAAACUCAAAGGAAUUGACGG
This 897-nucleotide ribosomal RNA is filed under the name uncultured bacterium. RNAcentral describes it as "bacterial SSU rRNA". It matches the Rfam family "Bacterial small subunit ribosomal RNA", at positions 9 to 916 of the family's 1533-position model. The record is from RNAcentral.